Molecule: ribosomal RNA, 403 nt
Filed under: uncultured bacterium
Lineage: Bacteria
Description: bacterial SSU rRNA
Rfam family: Bacterial small subunit ribosomal RNA
Source: RNAcentral
GACGAACGCUGGCGGCGUGCUUAAUACAUGCAAGUCAACUGAACUUAAGGUAGUAAUACUUUAAGGGAGGUGGCGCACGGGUGAGUAACACGUAGGUAAUCUGCCUUUAGGUCUGACAUAAUUCCGCGAAAGCGGGACUAACUUCAGAUGAUGCAGCGGCUCGACAUCGAGACAGUUGUUAAAUCUUCGGAGCCUAAAGAUGAGCCUGCGUCUGAUUAGGUAGUGGCGGAGUAAAAGCCCACCAAGCCUGCGAUCAGUAGCUGGUCUGAGAGGAUGAUCAGCCACACUGGAACUGAGACACGGUCCAGACUCCUACGGGAGGCAGCAGUAAGGAAUAUUGCUCAAUGCGAAAGGCUGAAGCAGCAACGCCGCGUGGAGGAUGAAAUACUUUUGUAUGUAAACU